RNAcentral lists this ribosomal RNA (460 nucleotides) under uncultured bacterium. RNAcentral's name for it is "partial 16S ribosomal RNA". It matches the Rfam family "Bacterial small subunit ribosomal RNA", at positions 338 to 795 of the family's 1533-position model. The record is from RNAcentral.
CCUACGGGUGGCAGCAGUGAGGAAUAUUGGUCAAUGGACGAGAGUCUGAACCAGCCAAGUAGCGUGAAGGAUGACUGCCCUAUGGGUUGUAAACUUCUUUUAUAUGGGAAUAAAAUGUUCCACGUGUGGGAUUUUGUAUGUACCAUAUGAAUAAGGAUCGGCUAACUCCGUGCCAGCAGCCGCGGUAAUACGGAGGAUCCGAGCGUUAUCCGGAUUUAUUGGGUUUAAAGGGAGCGUAGGUGGAUUGUUAAGUCAGUUGUGAAAGUUUGCGGCUCAACCGUAAAAUUGCAGUUGAAACUGGCAGUCUUGAGUACAGUAGAGGUGGGCGGAAUUCGUGGUGUAGCGGUGAAAUGCUUAGAUAUCACGAAGAACUCCGAUUGCGAAGGCAGUUCACUGGACUGCAACUGACACUGAGGCUCGAAAGUGUGGGUAUCAAACAGGAUUAGAUACCCUUGUCGUC